AGUGAACGCUGGCGGUAGGCCUAACACAUGCAAGUCGAACGGCAGCACAGUAAGAGCUUGCUCUUACGGGUGGCGAGUGGCGGACGGGUGAGGAAUACAUCGGAAUCUACUUUUUCGUGGGGGAUAACGUAGGGAAACUUACGCUAAUACCGCAUACGACCUACGGGUGAAAGCAGGGGAUCUUCGGACCUUGCGCGAUUGAAUGAGCCGAUGUCGGAUUAGCUAGUUGGCGGGGUAAAGGCCCACCAAGGCGACGAUCCGUAGCGGGUCUGAGAGGAUGAUCAGCCACACUGGAACUGAGACACGGUCCAGACUCCUACGGGAGGCAGCAGUGGGGAAUAUUGGACAAUGGGCGCAAGCCUGAUCCAGCCAUGCCGCGUGGGUGAAGAAGGCCUUCGGGUUGUAAAGCCCUUUUGUUGGGAAAGAAAAGCAGCAGGUUAAUACCCCGCUGUUCUGACGGUACCCAAAGAAUAAGCACCGGCUAACUUCGUG
Molecule: ribosomal RNA, 492 nt
Filed under: uncultured bacterium
Lineage: Bacteria
Description: partial 16S ribosomal RNA
Rfam family: Bacterial small subunit ribosomal RNA
Source: RNAcentral